CGUGUUCAGGUCUGACUGUUCCAGA
Molecule: microRNA, 25 nt
Filed under: Oreochromis niloticus (Nile tilapia)
Lineage: Eukaryota; Metazoa; Chordata; Actinopteri; Cichliformes; Cichlidae
Description: oni-miR-10731
Source: miRBase by way of RNAcentral